This 465-nucleotide ribosomal RNA is filed under the name uncultured bacterium. RNAcentral's name for it is "partial 16S ribosomal RNA". It matches the Rfam family "Bacterial small subunit ribosomal RNA", at positions 28 to 507 of the family's 1533-position model. The record is from RNAcentral.
GAUGAACGCUGGCGGCGUGCUUAACACAUGCAAGUCGAACGGAAAGGCUCCUGCUUGCAGGGGUACUCGAGUGGCGAACGGGUGAGUAACACGUGGGUGAUCUGCCCUGCACUUCGGGAUAAGCCUUGGAAACUGGGUCUAAUACUGGAUAGGACGACGGUUUGGAUGCCAUUGUGGACAGUUUUUCGGUGUGGGAUGAGCUCGCGGCCUAUCAGCUUGUUGGGGGGGUAAUGGCCUACCAAGGCGUCGACGGGUAGCCGGCCUGGGAGGGGGUACGGCCACAUUGGGACUGAGAUACGGCCCAGACUCCUACGGGAGGCAGCAGUGGGGAAUAUUGCACAAUGGGCGCAAGCCUGAUGCAGCGGCGCCGCGUGGGGGAUGACGGCCUUCGGGUUGUAAACUCCUUUCGCUUGGGACGAAGCGCAAGUGACGGUACCUGGAGAAGAAGCACCGGCUAACUACGUG